GAAAUGCGAUAACUAAUGUGAAUUGCAGAAUUCAGUGAAUCAUCGAGUCUUUGAACGCACAUUGCGCCCCCUGGUAUUCCGGGGGGCAUGCCUGUCCGAGCGUCAUUACUGCCCUCAAGCCCGGCUUGUGUGUUGGGUCCUCGUCCCCCCCGGGGGACGGGCCCGAAAGGCAGCGGCGGCACCGCGUCCGGUCCUCGAGCGUAUGGGGCUCUGUCACCCGCUCUGUAGGCCCGGCCGGCGCCCGCCCCGUCAACCUCUAUUCUUUCCAGGUUGACCUCGGAUCAGGUAGGGAUACCCGCUGAACUUAAGC
RNAcentral lists this unclassified non-coding RNA (310 nucleotides) under plant metagenome. RNAcentral describes it as "partial contains 5.8S ribosomal RNA, internal transcribed spacer 2, and large subunit ribosomal RNA". The stretch from base 1 to 105 matches the Rfam family "5.8S ribosomal RNA", at positions 50 to 154 of the family's 154-position model. The record is from RNAcentral.